Molecule: ribosomal RNA, 524 nt
Filed under: uncultured bacterium
Lineage: Bacteria
Description: bacterial SSU rRNA
Rfam family: Bacterial small subunit ribosomal RNA
Source: RNAcentral
AGCGCUAUUUAGGUUAGAGUUUGAUCCUGGCUCAGGACGAACGCUGGCGGCGUGCUUAACACAUGCAAGUCACGGGGGCCCGCAAGGGCAACCGGCGAACGGGUGCGUAACACGUGAGCAAUCUGCCGAUUUCUGGGGGAUAGCCGGCCCAACGGCCGGGUAAUACCGCAUACGCUCAUUGGGGGACAUCCCCUGGUGAGGAAACCUCCGGGGGAAAUCGAGGAGCUCGCGGCCUAUCAGCUAGUUGGUGAGGUAACGGCUCACCAAGGCGUCGACGGGUAGCUGGUCUGAGAGGAUGGCCAGCCACAUUGGGACUGAGAGACGGCCCAGACUCCUACGGGAGGCAGCAGUGGGGAAUCUUGCGCAAUGGCCGAAAGGCUGACGCAGCGACGCCGCGUGUGGGAUGAAGCAUUUCGGUGUGUAAACCACUGUUGCCUGGGACAAACAGCUUCUUUCGAGGAGCCUGACGGUACCGGGUGAGGAAGCACCGGCUAACUCCGUGCCAGCAGCCGCGGUAAUCGCCC